This 578-nucleotide long non-coding RNA is filed under the name Helianthus annuus (common sunflower). Its description in RNAcentral is "sRNA HanXRQr2_Chr01g0039861". Lineage: Eukaryota; Viridiplantae; Streptophyta; Magnoliopsida; Asterales; Asteraceae. The record is from RNAcentral.
AUGUCAUUAUUCUUUUAGCGUAUCCUAAUUGUUAAAUCGAUCCAGACUCAUCGAAACCCUAUUUUAUACGGUAGGUUUUAGUGCAACUAAUUAUAUGAUUUUUGAAUAAUUAUCAUCACAUAAUCACUUUGAAUAUGCACACUUGUAACAUUAUUAUAAUACCUGCUCCGUGAAGCAGUAAUGUAUUCCGCUGUUUUGUUGUUAGUCAAAUAAUGAUGUAACAUAUUCUAUCAUGUUAGACAAGAUGAUCCGAACAAACCAAUUAAAAGCGUCGGAAGUAGCUGAUUUUGUAGCAAUAAAUGAAUAUUAUUCGGAUUUCUAGUAAACACAGUUUUCUGAAAGAUCGCUUGAAGACGGCACCUGCUGAUUUAGCCAUCUUCAGCAGCAUUGCUUGAACUUUCGCGGCCUGUUUGCUUCACAAACUGUCCUCUAACACGUGGCCGUUGUUCCGCUAGUUGUUUUCUGUUUUGAUAUCCAUCGAUCUUUUUUCUUUUCAAGAAACUUGAUCAAGGCUGCUUCUCUCUGUGCAGAUUUGUGUGGAUCUUUUCUUAUUUCACUACCACUUCCACCACCACCAC